UAUGCUAACCAUGGCGUGACCUUGCCCUUUAGCAGUCUAGAACUGACUGAAUUUAUGUUAGCUAUAGGUAACUUCCUGAGGGACCGGUCAGCAACAUCCCAGGGACCGCUGCCAGCCCACAGACCAGGGGUUGAAGACUCUGCAUCCACCAAUGGAAGAUCAGGGUUCACCUCGGGUCCACCAACAUACCACUUCAUAGACGCAGGUUUGUGGGCAACAAUAGGACACAACAAGACAUGAGGGGAGAGUGUUUAAGCAGACGGAGGAACCAGUUAUUUAUUUGCAAGUAGUUACGAGGUAUUACCUCAGAGGAAGAACAGUAGAAUGCUAUCAGGACAAGAACUGGUGAUAGAUUAAUGGUUGUCCUUCUUACUAGGAAAAUGACAUGAAUGCCAACUGAUGCCCGAUUAACAUGCCUGAUGCCUGAAUAACAGGGCUGAUGCCUGAAUAACAAGGCUGAUGCCUGAAUAACAGGGCUGAUGCCAGAAAACAGGCCUGAUGCCUGAAUAACAAGGCGGAUGCCUGAAUAACAGGGCUGAUGCCAGAAUAACAGGGCUAAUGCCAGAAUAACAAGGCUGAUGCCUGAAUAACAAGGCUGAUGCCUGAAUAACAAGGCUGAUGCCUGAAUAACAGGGCUGAUGCCAGAAUAACAAGGCUGAUGCCUGAAUAACAGGGCUGAUGCCAGAAUAACAGGCCUGAUGCCUGAAUAACAAGGCGGAUGCCUGAAUAACAGGGCUCAUGCCAGAAUAACAGGGCUGAUGCCAGAAUAACAGGGGUGAUGCCUGAAUAACAGGGGUGAUGCCUGAAUAACAGGGGUGAUGCCUGAAUAACAGCUUUCAAGUACUGUCAGUUCACUACUGCAUCAAAAUCAAAUUUCCAUGUCCAUCAAACGGUAAAAUUGAAUUACUUGGGUCACUUUGCAGGAGGUCGUUUGCCGUUCGUUUCACAAGCAUCUAUAAGCUAUAAGCUAACACAGCCUGAAGAGUCUGGCUAUCAAGACACCUGUAAAAUCCUCCCUUCUUGGCAGCAAGGCUAACCCAGCUGUUUCAAAUGACACCUAUUCCCUGUGUAGUGCACUACUUUGGGCCACCUAAAAAACAACAUCCUAUUCCCUGUGUAGUGCACUAAUGUUCUCUAAAACAACACCCAAUGUGGCUGCACUGUUACUCUUGUCAACGGUAGUGCAAUAGUACAUUAUACAGCCAAUGAGAUUUAGCUACUGUCUGCCAGUGGGAUGACAGCUUCUGUCUGCCAGUGUGAUGACAGCUUCUGUCUGCCAGUGUGAUGACAGCUUCUGUCUGCCAGUGUGAUGACAGACUGUCUGCCAGUGUGAUGACAGACUGUCUGCC
Molecule: non-coding RNA, 1349 nt
Organism: Salmo salar (Atlantic salmon)
Lineage: Eukaryota; Metazoa; Chordata; Actinopteri; Salmoniformes; Salmonidae
Source: RefSeq, a predicted model, not a curated record